Mizuhopecten yessoensis (Yesso scallop) is the source of this 1029-nucleotide long non-coding RNA. RefSeq lists it as uncharacterized. The transcript is spliced from 3 exons. The record is from RefSeq and is a predicted model, not a curated record. Lineage: Eukaryota; Metazoa; Mollusca; Bivalvia; Pectinida; Pectinidae.
UCAUGGUACAGAAAUCAUUACAAAGAAACAUUAUCCCAAUAGACUAAAGGCAAACACACACUUAUGAAACACCCGAUCCCUCCACAACUAAAACAUAUGAAGAUUCCACUACUGUGCACCAUUAUCAUCGUUCAACCACGACAGAAACAACAACAACAACAACGACGGACAAAACCACAACCAAGGAACCCUACCCAACUAAAAAUCCUUACCCAUAUAAACCGACAAGGAAACCUUAUCCUUAUAAACCCACCAAGAAACCCUACCCUUAUAAACCGACGCCAGAAACCACAACCAAGAAACCCUACCCAUAUAAACUAACAAAGAAACCAUACCCUUAUAAACCGACGCCAGAAACUACAACCAAGAAACCCUAUCCAACUAAGAAACCUUACCCUUAUAAACCAACAAAGAAACCUUAUCAUUAUAAACCUAAGCCAGAAACCACAACCAAGAAACCCUACCCUAACAAAACAACAAAGAAACCUUAUCCUUACGAAAAAACAAAGAAACCAUAUCCUUAUAAAACAACCACCCAUGGUCCAUGCGAUGAGCUGCCCGAGAAACACCUACAGCAACAAGAAUAUGAAGCUACACAUCUGAUUAAACUAAACAAGAAACUUCAGAGGAAAAUAACAAGCGGGUUAAUAUAGACUGACUCGUCAUCGUUAAUGAAUCUCUGUCCAGAAGAGUAUCACUCAGUGCAGCUUCCCAAGUAUGUUAAUUACAGCGGGUGUUUCUGCGUGGUACCACAACCUUUAUGUAGCUUUCACUACAUCAGUAGAACUUGUGGAGGUGAAGCGUGUAAAUAUGUAACGCCCACAUACGGUGAAGGAUUCUUCUGCGUUCCCGAUGGUAAGAAGGUGUACAAAAUCCCAGUGUACUGCAUUGUGGGUAAAAAGUGGACAAUCAAGUUGAUGCUCCAUAACGUCUGGAUGUGCUGCUCCUGUCAACGCAUCACGUGUUAGCUUUCAGCAACAAACUCGACUUUGGUUGUUUAAAUGGGACGGUAUAAUAAACAAAACAAUA